Long non-coding RNA from Psammomys obesus (fat sand rat), 273 nucleotides. RefSeq lists it as uncharacterized. Lineage: Eukaryota; Metazoa; Chordata; Mammalia; Rodentia; Muridae. The record is from RefSeq and is a predicted model, not a curated record. The transcript is spliced from 2 exons.
UAGCAGUGGUUCCCAAAGUGCUGGAGAGCUCCUACCGAGAGGCGAGAGGCGGAUGGGCCUCCACCGAGCCCUGGCUUUCUCCGAUAAUGGCCGUUCAUAAUCCGAGGAUCCAGGCUGGAUAUGCUACUGACACAAAAAACUUGGCAUCAGGAGAGACCAGAGCUUCCCCAAACAUUUCUGCAUCUCACUCUGGGGGUCUGGAUGCUCAACUGUGCAGUGGAGACAGUGAAACUCACCUCCAUGUAUAAAAAAGAAAGCAGAGUGUAAACCAUU